Molecule: ribosomal RNA, 744 nt
Filed under: uncultured bacterium
Lineage: Bacteria
Description: bacterial SSU rRNA
Rfam family: Bacterial small subunit ribosomal RNA
Source: RNAcentral
AGCGGCGGAUGGGUGAGUAACACGUGGGGAACCUGGCCCUAAGUCUGGGAUACCAUUUAGAAACAGGUGCUAAUACCGGAUAAUAAAGCAGAUCGCAUGAUCAGCUUUUGAAAGGCGGCGUAAGCUGUCGCUAAGGGAUGGCCCCGCGGUGCAUUAGCUAGUUGGUAAGGUAACGGCUUACCAAGGCGACGAUGCAUAGCCGAGUUGAGAGACUGAUCGGCCACAUUGGGACUGAGACACGGCCCAAACUCCUACGGGAGGCAGCAGUAGGGAAUCUUCCACAAUGGACGCAAGUCUGAUGGAGCAACGCCGCGUGAGUGAAGAAGGUUUUCGGAUCGUAAAGCUCUGUUGUUGGUGAAGAAGGAUAGAGGUAGUAACUGGCCUUUAUUUGACGGUAAUCAACCAGAAAGUCACGGCUAACUACGUGCCAGCAGCCGCGGUAAUACGUAGGUGGCAAGCGUUGUCCGGAUUUAUUGGGCGUAAAGCGAGCGCAGGCGGAAAAAUAAGUCUAAUGUGAAAGCCCUCGGCUUAACCGAGGAACUGCAUCGGAAACUGUUUUUCUUGAGUGCAGAAGAGGAGAGUGGAACUCCAUGUGUAGCGGUGGAAUGCGUAGAUAUAUGGAAGAACACCAGUGGCGAAAGGCGGCUCUCUGGUCUGCAACUGACGCUGAGGCUCGAAAGCAUGGGUAGCGAACAGGAUUAGAUACCCUGGUAGUCCAUGCCGUAAACGAUGAGUGCUAAGUGU